RNAcentral lists this ribosomal RNA (1454 nucleotides) under uncultured organism. Its description in RNAcentral is "SSU rRNA". It matches the Rfam family "Bacterial small subunit ribosomal RNA". The record is from RNAcentral.
GAUGAACCCUAUCUACAGGCUUAACACAUGCAAGUCGAGGGGCAGCAUUUCACUUUGCUUGCAAACUGGAGAUGGCGACCGGCGCACGGGUGAGUAACACGUAUCCAACCUGCCGAUAACUCGGGGAUAGCCUUUCGAAAGAAAGAUUAAUACCCGAUGGCAUAAUUAGACCGCAUGGUCUUAUUAUUAAAGAAUUUCGGUUAUCGAUGGGGAUGCGUUCCAUUAGGCAGUUGGUGAGGUAACGGCUCACCAAACCUUCGAUGGAUAGGGGUUCUGAGAGGAAGGUCCCCCACAUUGGAACUGAGACACGGUCCAAACUCCUACGGGAGGCAGCAGUGAGGAAUAUUGGUCAAUGGACGAGAGUCUGAACCAGCCAAGUAGCGUGAAGGAUGACUGCCCUAUGGGUUGUAAACUUCUUUUAUACGGGAAUAAAGUGAGGCACGUGUGCCUUUUUGUAUGUACCGUAUGAAUAAGGAUCGGCUAACUCCGUGCCAGCAGCCGCGGUAAUACGGAGGAUCCGAGCGUUAUCCGGAUUUAUUGGGUUUAAAGGGAGCGUAGGCGGACGCUUAAGUCAGUUGUGAAAGUUUGCGGCUCAACCGUAAAAUUGCAGUUGAUACUGGGUGUCUUGAGUACAGUAGAGGCAGGCGGAAUUCGUGGUGUAGCGGUGAAAUGCUUAGAUAUCACGAAGAACUCCGAUUGCGAAGGCAGCUUGCUGGACUGUAACUGACGCUGAUGCUCGAAAGUGUGGGUAUCAAACAGGAUUAGAUACCCUGGUAGUCCACACAGUAAACGAUGAAUACUCGCUGUUUGCGAUAUACAGUAAGCGGCCAAGCGAAAGCGUUAAGUAUUCCACCUGGGGAGUACGCCGGCAACGGUGAAACUCAAAGGAAUUGACGGGGGCCCGCACAAGCGGAGGAACAUGUGGUUUAAUUCGAUGAUACGCGAGGAACCUUACCCGGGCUUGAAUUGCAACUGAAUGAUGUGGAGACAUGUCAGCCGCAAGGCAGUUGUGAAGGUGCUGCAUGGUUGUCGUCAGCUCGUGCCGUGAGGUGUCGGCUUAAGUGCCAUAACGAGCGCGACCCUUAUCGAUAGUUACCAUCAGGUUAUGCUGGGGACUCUGUCGAGACUGCCGUCGUAAGAUGUGAGGAAGGUGGGGAUGACGUCAAAUCAGCACGGCCCUUACGUCCGGGGCUACACACGUGUUACAAUGGGGGGUACAGAAGGCAGCUACACGGCGACGUGAUGCUAAUCCCGAAAGCCUCUCUCAGUUCGGAUUGGAGUCUGCAACCCGACUCCAUGAAGCUGGAUUCGCUAGUAAUCGCGCAUCAGCCACGGCGCGGUGAAUACGUUCCCGGGCCUUGUACACACCGCCCGUCAAGCCAUGAAAGCCGGGGGUACCUGAAGUGCGUAACCGCAAGGAGCGCCCUAGGGUAAAACUGGUGAUUGGGGCUAAA